This 264-nucleotide long non-coding RNA is filed under the name Capsella rubella. Its description in RNAcentral is "long non-coding RNA (CRUB_LNC004025)". Lineage: Eukaryota; Viridiplantae; Streptophyta; Magnoliopsida; Brassicales; Brassicaceae. The record is from RNAcentral.
AUAAGAAUCUCAUUAUUUUGUCAUCUAAUUCUUUACUAUUUCAUACCAUUUUUUAAAAAAAUAUAUAUUUUUUUCAGUAGAAAAGACAAACAAUAGGAUAACAGAAAAAAAAAAAAAAAACACAACCAUUGAAAGGUUUUUUACAUCAAGCGAUAUUGUAAGGUCUUUCCCCCCAAAACUAUUAUAUUUUUUGCGUUAUACUAUUACCAACCAUUACCAACCUCGUAUUGGUCCCAAGAAAAAUAUAAUAGUUUUUUGUUGACA